This is a long non-coding RNA of Erinaceus europaeus (western European hedgehog), 377 nucleotides long. RefSeq lists it as uncharacterized. The record is from RefSeq and is a predicted model, not a curated record. NCBI's taxonomy places the organism in Eukaryota, Metazoa, Chordata, Mammalia, Eulipotyphla, Erinaceidae. The transcript is spliced from 3 exons.
CAAGUGCACUCUCUGGACUGAACUGUGGUAUGGGGAAAAAUUGACUCUUGGUAGAACCACAGCUGAGAAAAGCAGGGAUAUUUUUUGUGUGGAAGAGAAUAUGGUAGGCAGGGGGAAAAAAAAUGUGUGUUACUCUGUCUCUGUGGAUAUGCCUGGAAGGGCUGGGUCAAGCAAAGAUAUUAUGGAAAAGAUUCUUAUGUUGGUGAGAAUUUGAACUGAAAGACCUUUAAGCUCUUUCAGACUUGGAGUUAUAGAAUUUGCAUCUGCUUUCCAGUCACCCAAUGGGAACUUUGUACCAGCUAACAUACGUAUGUAAAUACGGAAACCUCUGUGGUUCAUCUCAGACCAGGAAGGCUGCCUUUUUCAUAUAUAUAUAU